ACGAACGUUGGCGGCGUGGAUUAGGCAUGCAAGUCGAACGAAGACACCCUGUGUAGCAAUACUUGGGGUGGACUGAGUGGCGAAAGGGGCGGUAAGGCAUGGGUAACCUACCCCGGGGAUGGGCAUAGCCGUUCUAACGGACGGGUAAUUCCCAGCGAUUUGGCGAGGCGGCAUCACCUUGCCAAGAAAUGAGUUUCGCCUCGGGAGGGGCUCAUGUGAUAUUAGCUUGUUGGCGGGGUAACGGCCCACCAAGGCUAAGAUGUCUAGCGGGUGUGAGAGCACGACCCGCGCCACUGGCACUGAGACACUGGCCAGACACCUACGGGUGGCUGCAGUCGAGGAUCUUCGGCAAUGGGCGCAAGCCUGACCGAGCGACGCCGCGUGUGCGAUGAAGGCCUUCGGGUUGUAAAGCACUGUCGAGGGGGAGGAAGCCGCAAGGUUGACCUAUCCCUGGAGGAAGCACGGGCUAAGUUCGU
Molecule: ribosomal RNA, 476 nt
Filed under: uncultured bacterium
Lineage: Bacteria
Description: bacterial SSU rRNA
Rfam family: Bacterial small subunit ribosomal RNA
Source: RNAcentral